GGGAAAUCAGGCUACAGCAUCUAUCACCCCAUUGAUUAUCAAAAUAGAUUUGGCUCAUCUGGCUUGCUAGAUGGGUAUCUUUUUCCC
This 87-nucleotide small nuclear RNA is filed under the name Neotoma lepida (desert woodrat). RNAcentral's name for it is "7SK RNA". It matches the Rfam family "7SK RNA", at positions 9 to 98 of the family's 331-position model. From Rfam's summary of the family: 7SK was discovered as an abundant small nuclear RNA in the mid-70s but a possible function has only recently been suggested. Lineage: Eukaryota; Metazoa; Chordata; Mammalia; Rodentia; Cricetidae. The record is from Rfam by way of RNAcentral.